GACGAACGCUGGCGGCGUGCUUAACACAUGCAAGUCGAGCGGUAAGGCCCUUUCGGGGGUACACGAGCGGCGAACGGGUGAGUAACACGUGGGUGACCUGCCCUCAGCUCUGGGAUAAGCCUGGGAAACUGGGUCUAAUACCGGAUAUGACUCCGCGGUGCAUGCUGUGGGGUGGAAAGCCUUGUGCGGCUGGAGAUGGGCCCGCGGCCUAUCAGCUUGUUGGUGGGGUGAUGGCCUACCAAGGCGA
This 247-nucleotide ribosomal RNA is filed under the name uncultured Actinomycetes bacterium. RNAcentral describes it as "uncultured actinobacterium partial 16S ribosomal RNA". It matches the Rfam family "Bacterial small subunit ribosomal RNA", at positions 28 to 276 of the family's 1533-position model. The record is from RNAcentral. Lineage: Bacteria; Bacillati; Actinomycetota; Actinomycetes.